GGUGCUAUAGUCUAGGGGUAGGACGUGACAUUGUGGACUGUCAAAACCCGUGUUCGAAUCACGGUGGCGCCA
Parastagonospora nodorum SN15 is the source of this 72-nucleotide non-coding RNA. The record is from the annotation of a RefSeq genome assembly. NCBI's taxonomy places the organism in Eukaryota, Fungi, Ascomycota, Dothideomycetes, Pleosporales, Phaeosphaeriaceae.